This 497-nucleotide ribosomal RNA is filed under the name uncultured bacterium. RNAcentral describes it as "partial 16S ribosomal RNA". It matches the Rfam family "Bacterial small subunit ribosomal RNA", at positions 28 to 507 of the family's 1533-position model. The record is from RNAcentral.
GAUGAACGCUGGCGGCGUGCCUAAUACAUGCAAGUCGAGCGAACAGACGAGGAGCUUGCUCCUCUGACGUUAGCGGCGGACGGGUGAGUAACACGUGGAUAACCUACCUAUAAGACUGGGAUCACUUCGGGAAACCGGAGCUAAUACCGGAUAAUAUAUUGAACCGCAUGGUUCAAUAGUGAAAGACGGUUUUGCUGUCACUUAUAGAUGGUUCCUCGCCGCAUUAGCUAGUUGGUAAGGUAACGGCUUACCAAGGCAACGAUGCGUAGCCGACCUGAGAGGGUGAUCGGCCACACUGGAACUGAGACACGGUCCAGACUCCUACGGGAGGCAGCAGUAGGGAAUCUUCCGCAAUGGGCGAAAGCUUGACGGAGCAACGCCGCGUGAGUGAUGAAGGUCUUCGGAUCGUAAAACUCUGUUAUUAGGGAAGAACAAAUGUGUAAGUAACUAUGCACGUCUUGACGGUACCUAAUCAGAAAGCCCCGGCUAACUACGUG